RNAcentral lists this ribosomal RNA (490 nucleotides) under uncultured bacterium. Its description in RNAcentral is "partial 16S ribosomal RNA". It matches the Rfam family "Bacterial small subunit ribosomal RNA", at positions 28 to 507 of the family's 1533-position model. The record is from RNAcentral.
GAUGAACGCUAGCUACAGGCUUAACACAUGCAAGUCGAGGGGCAGCAUGGUCUUAGCUUGCUAAGGCCGAUGGCGACCGGCGCACGGGUGAGUAACACGUAUCCAACCUGCCGUCUACUCUUGGACAGCCUUCUGAAAGGAAGAUUAAUACAAGAUGGCAUCAUGAGUCCGCAUGUUCACAUGAUUAAAGGUAUUCCGGUAGACGAUGGGGAUGCGUUCCAUUAGAUAGUAGGCGGGGUAACGGCCCACCUAGUCUUCGAUGGAUAGGGGUUCUGAGAGGAAGGUCCCCCACAUUGGAACUGAGACACGGUCCAAACACCUACGGGAGGCAGCAGUGAGGAAUAUUGGUCAAUGGGCGCAGGCCUGAACCAGCCAAGUAGCGUGAAGGAUGACUGCCCUAUGGGUUGUAAACUUCUUUUAUAAAGGAAUAAAGUCGGGUAUGUAUACCCGUUUGCAUGUACUUGAUGAAUAAGGAUCGGCUAACUCCGUG